This 463-nucleotide ribosomal RNA is filed under the name uncultured bacterium. Its description in RNAcentral is "partial 16S ribosomal RNA". It matches the Rfam family "Bacterial small subunit ribosomal RNA", at positions 28 to 507 of the family's 1533-position model. The record is from RNAcentral.
GACGAACGCUGGCGGCGUGCUUAACACAUGCAAGUCGAGCGGAAAGGCCACUUCGGUGGUCCUUGAGCGGCGAACGGGUGAGUAACACGUGAGUAAUCUGCCCCUCACUUUGGGAUAGCCACCGGAAACGGUGAUUAAUAACGGUAAUGCCCAUAUGUCGCAUCGCGUGUGGUGGAAAGUUUUUCGGUGAUGGCUGUUCUCGCGGCCUAUCAGCCUGAUGGUGAGGUAAUGGCUCAACAUGGCUUCGACGGGUAGCCGGCCUGGGAGGGUGACCGGGCACACUGCGACUGAGGGACGGCCCAGACUGCUACGGGAGGCAACAGUGGGGAGUAUUGGACAAUGGGCGGAAGCCUGAUCCAGCAGCGCCGCGUUAGGAAUGACGGCCUGCGGGUUGAGAACCUCUUUCAGUACCGACGAAGCGGAAGUGACGGUAGGUACAGAAGAAGCACCGGCCAACUACGUG